RNAcentral lists this long non-coding RNA (417 nucleotides) under Apteryx rowi (Okarito brown kiwi). Its description in RNAcentral is "lncRNA (ENSARWG00000009118.1)". The record is from RNAcentral. Lineage: Eukaryota; Metazoa; Chordata; Aves; Apterygiformes; Apterygidae.
CUUUGGUGACAGGCUCUUCUGGAUGAGUGCUGUGUGUGAGGCAGAGGCGGUGGGGUGUGCAAGGCAGAAGGUGCCGUGGGUGUCCUGCCAGCCACAAUGUUGGAGUUUGGGAUUGGCAUAUUGCUGGUGAGCGCAGUGCCAGUGGGGCUUUGGUGUGGAGGGCGGUCUUGUGGACGAGGCUGGAGCUGACUGGUGUGGGGGUGACCGCUUGCGCUCUAUUUUGGCAGGUGAUGAAGGCGAAUGUGGUGACCGGAGGAAGAUCAGAGAGGAUGUGGCUGUCAUUGAGGAUGCCUCUUGAAGACAGAUGAUGCUGAGUUCUGGUAGGGGGAAGGGAAGGCUGCUGGUUUUGUGGUGAUGGAAGGCCAAGAUUUGUUCAUGAUGUUGUAAUAAAGAGAUUGUUUUGAAUUUUUUUGAGCA